Molecule: long non-coding RNA, 16769 nt
Organism: Marmota monax (woodchuck)
Lineage: Eukaryota; Metazoa; Chordata; Mammalia; Rodentia; Sciuridae
Exons: 5
Source: RefSeq, a predicted model, not a curated record
CAGGAGCACUUAACCACUGAGCCACGUCCCCAGCUCUCUUUUGUGUUUUUAUUUAGACCCAGGGUCUCGCUAAAUUGCUCAGGGCCUCGCUAAAUUGCUGAGGCUGGUUUUGAACUUGCAAAAUACUCCUGCCUCAGCCUCCCGAGCCACUGGGAUUGUGAGUAUGCCCCACCAUGCCUGGACUGAACUGUUAUCUUUUAGAUGUGGCAACCAGGUCACAGAGCUGGUGAAUGCUGUUGGGAUCUAACAUCUUAGUUUUUAAAUGCUGCUUUUCCUCACUAAUGGAAGAAUUUGAGGAUUGCUAAAAAAUCAGCUUCGAUGCUUCUCAAUGUGACUUCUACCACUGACAACUUUAAAUUGCAAUUUCAAUAUCACUGUUAUUUCCUUAGCAACCCUUCCCAAAACAUCUGAUAUACACUUGCCUCCAUUUUUUUUCUGAAAGAACUGUAUGUUUUUGACCUUAGAAGAAUAUAUAUAUAUAAGUACUCUUAAGCAGAAAACAAGGAUUUUACAUGUUUUGAAAAUCUCAUUGUUUUGGACUCCCAAAACGUCACUAUCAAUUCAAAUGAUGACAGAAGAUCAUAGACCAUGAUGAAUACAGGUGGUAAACAUGGUCACUAGAGUUAAGAGAGAAGAUGUGUGCAACAUCACAAGACUUUCCUGACCCCCACUUUGUGAUAUUAAUAAAAUAUCAGAGAUGCAGGAGACCUCUGCACACUGUUUUCUGUUAUUAAGAGUCAGAAUCUAAUGUUUCCUUUCACGUGUGGAAGCUAAAGCAAAAUAAGGAAAAGAAGGUGAUUGCAGAGGGGAUCAGAUGUUAUAAAUACCUAGGGAAGAUCAGCGGAGCAGAAGUAGACAAAUGAGAGGGAGGCAGGGAGGAAGGAAGGGAAAAGGAAAAAAAUAUGUAAUGAGCCUCACAAAAUCAUGUUAUAUACAUGAAUAGAUGUACCACAGGGAGUAUCUCCUUUGUGUACAUGUAGAAAGUACCAAUCCAAAAUAAAUAAAUAAAGGAGUGAAAGGAAGAACAGUAGAGGAGAGAAAAAGGGGAUGGAAGAGAGAAGGAAGGAGAGGCUGAAUGGGGAUUGACAUGAAAUUCCUUAUAUGUACAAUGAUGUCAAAAAGAAGAUGGGGGGUGGGGGGAGAGAGUGGGAGAGAGAGAGAGAAUUUCCAUGAGAAGACCAGUCUGUUAGUAAUUGUGCAGCUCAGUAACAUGAUCAUUUGGGGCAAUGCUGGGUUGAAAUGGGCUCUGUCUCAAUCAUGCCCAGAUUUUGAGUUUGAAAAAAAAAUAGGGGGUUGGUGCUAUUUACGGUAUUGACUGGAAUAAACUAACUAAUCAAAAGCAGCUAGACUCCUCCCCCAUUUUUAAAUGAUUCAGCACUUAAGGAAUGAUUCCCACUGGACCAGCUAUUUCCCAUCCACUUUCCCCGUUUUUGACUAAACUUUAUGGCUACAUAUGUCUCUGUGGAGUACACUGGACCUAGAAUAAAAGGUUCUCCCUAAAGAUGAGAAGUAGAAAUGCAGAGUGGCAGAAUCAAGAUGCCACUUGCCUUUCCAGGAAGAAAUGCUUUCUCUUGCUCCAAGACCAACUCUAUCAAUGAGAGUUUGACCUCACCAUUGGUAAAACCUCUCCUUUAGGAACCUAAUUGACUUUGAUGAAUUAUCUUCUUGCAUCUGAGUAAAUUGGGUCCAUUACUAGAAAAUGAAUGCUUCCUGUUUUCUCAAUCAUUUUCUUGUUGGAAAGCAGUUCAGCAAUUAUUUCUAAGUUCAUUUUUCUGGGCCAUAAUGGCUUGGAUCAGGUCGUGUAGAAACUCUCAAUGUUUUUCUAAAAUCUAUUGACUUGCACAGCUUUAAAAGCUUUAUCACAUCAAAAGCUUCUUAACAAUGAUAAUGUGCAUGCCAUAACUUGCAAAAGUAAAGUAAAGCACAGCAUUUUGCCAACCAACUGUGACUUCUGUGUAGCUCUAUAUCGAUUAGGCAAAAUAUUAUGCAACUAGAGAUUCUCAAUAUGGGGCACAUACAAGACAAUAGGGCAACACAAUCUCUGUAUGUCUAUUUGUUUCUUUUUCAAGUUGCUGGAGGCUAUUUGGGUAUCAAGAAACUACUAGGUAAGUCUUGUGACUCAAAUGAUCACAAAAGUAUCCUCCUCUGCUCACAGAAGAGGAAUUAAUUGUUAUAAAAAAAUUCAGGAUCUUAGACUACUUCAAUAUCUUACAGAAUAUAUAUAUAUGCAUAAGAUUAGUGAAACAAUUACUAUUAUUAUUAUUAUAACAUGUUUCUUCCUCCAUUUGGUAUUUGGACCUUUAAGAGAUAAUAAUCAAUAUUCAACACCUUACUGAUUGGGGAAGGGGUUGACUACAAGGAAAUAGAAAUGAUGUCAGAAUUGUAUGGUAUAGAAUAUCAGAUUUUUGGUACCCUAAAUGUCUUUAUAGAAACUUCCCAGUAUUCUUUUCUGAUUUUUUUGUGCCCAAGCCCAUCCCUUCCCAUUCUACUCUCUUCUGUCUUCCCUAGGAUUCCUGUCAAUGCUAAGGGGGUCCUAGAGACAAGUCUGGUAUCCUGGAGUGAACUCAAUUUCAUCAUAAAUGACAAGCAGAAACAACUUGUAGACUGCAGCAUGCUCACCUUCUCCAUGAUCCUGUCGAUCUGGCGAUUCUGCGUAUCGAUCUCAUUGCCCAUGUCCAGGGCCAUGUGACGGAGGUUUCCAAUGAUGCCGCUCACCUGCUCCAGGUUUUCAUCCAUUUCAUUUUCACGGGCAUCAUUUGUUACCCUAGGAGCCACAGAGCAAGUUUUAGAAGAUCGAGGGUGGGAAAAACCUUGAAUAUUAGACUCAACGCUUAGGGAAAGUCUGGACCUCGAAAGCUUCCAUGUUCUCUAUCUUAAACCUCUAUCCAAUACAAGUACACGGUUAGCCUUUGUACAUUCAACAAUAAUUUUUAAAAUUGUGUUUAGAGCUGGGGAUAUAGCUCAGUGGUAGAGUCUUUUGCUAGCAUGAGUGAGGUUCUGGCUUCAAUCCCCAGAAUUGCUAAAAAACAAAACAAAAAACCCAAACAUACAAAAAUUGCAUGUUGAACCCUUGAAUUUUUAAAGAAAGUAUACUAAAUAGAUUUAUCUACUUUUCUGACUUACACCAGCAUAUCAUCUCUCCUUUCAUAUAUAUGAUUUCUAUACAUUUUAUUCUUUAAGAUAAAAUCAUUUUAGAUAGAGAGACUCUAGUUCAGAGAAGGAAAGUGGAGCUAAAUAGAAACUGUGCUUUCUUUUUGAACCCAAAUCUCCAGGAUUCAAAUUGAGAACAAAAGAAAAUGCUUAUUAUGCUGAGUUAGUGAGUAUCUCACCUCUUUUCCCACUUGGAAUCAAUUAUCAGUGGGAAGAGUAAGGAUAAUUACAGUCUGCCCUUUAAUCCUGCAAUGGGAACUCUUUAUUGAAGAUGAUUUUUAUUUGCUCAAAUUUUAAUGCAAAGGGUUUUUAUUAUGGGUAUUGUGAAUGGGUGAUUUCAGAGCAGAAAGCUGUGAUAAAAUAUGGUUUGGGUUUGAAUGGGGUAGAUGUGGAGAGGAAAGAGUUGGCUUACAAAGCACCUUACCAUUUUUUCCACAUUCCAAUGUGAAGGCAAAGAAAAUACUUUAUUUCAAAUAACAAGUGUUUAUUGCAUACAGUAAGCACUACUCUAGAUUUUCCCAAAGGAAUAAAAAAUGUUCAGAGAAAUUAAAAUCCCUCCCCCUUGGGUAACAUCCAAUGUAGUCUGACCCAUUAUGAUUUUUCAAGUAGUCCAGGCCAGAGAAAAUUCAAAUAUUAAGGGAGAAAUUCCUAGAUAUUUUUCUUAUAGGGAAAAAGCUUAAUUUAAUAAAUGACCACCAAUAAGUACUACACAUCCUAGUUCAAUGGUUGUCAACUCUUGUUGAAUAUUAGAAUCACCUGAGGAGCUUUAAAACCACAGAUGCUUGUGUUGUUUGUCAAGAUUCUGAAUCAACAGGUGUGGGCUGGACAUAGACAUUCCUUUAUUUUUUAAAACUCUCCCCAGUUGAGUCUACUAUGUAGCCAUUGCAUUGAGAACCCAUUGGUCUGGUUUCCCUAGGAGAAGAUAGAGGUAGAAAGAGAAUUCUCAUCUGUGAACCUACAGGUGCAUUAUCAAGACCUUAUAUGUCAGUGACAGUGACCCAUCAUUUCAAUCACAGGGGUACUAUGUGACCAACAACAGUUAUGAUGGCCUGGGAAUAGGUAGUUGUGGAAACAAUUGCCCUAACCCUGACUGAGCCCUGGUAUUGUAGUCUAUAAAAAGAAACAUGCUUUUUCUUUUCAUAGGAAAUAUUUAGUUAUUAUUCUGUUUUCUGGUAUCCUAAGAGCUAUCUGAAUUCUGAACUGGCUGAACUGUGUAAUUGGAGGUUUUUAAAAGAGGCAUUUAUUUUUUUCCUCAAAAGAAAUGGUUAUUAAGCAGCUCAUUCACUGUUUUCUAUGUUCACCCCAAAUCUAUGCUUUAACUUUCCUUGCUCUAUGUUCUGAGACACUGACCUCCAUGACUGUAUCACCCAGCUUCUCUUACCCUCUGGGUUCCAAUGGGUUUGGCUAAUGGCCUGGGAGAUUAAGGAAGGCAAGAGGAGUGAAGUGUUGUGACAUUUGUUUAUUUUCUGCAUUCCCUGCUAGAUUUGGCUGUGUCUGCAUUUCUCUACCCGUAGCCCCUUGUCACAGUCAUAACUAUUGUUGGGUUCUGAUACCAGCUCCCUUUCCUGUCCCUUUAGAUGGUAAUAGCUUCUUGUUAUUGCUAGUCCAUAAGUGCUCCACCAUUUAUUGUUAUUAAUCCUGCCUAAACCUCUCUAUAAGCUUUGUUCAACUAAACCCAUGGGAUGAGAUGCCCAUCAACUGCCACACUGAUAUAAUGGAUGUGGUCAUGUGAUUUGCUUUAUCUAAUGAAGCUUGGGCAAAUAUGACACAAGUCAAGGCUUGCUAAGUGCUUGUUCAUUAGAGCUUGCCACCUUGGUAUGCUGCUAUCACCAUAAAGACACCUUGAUUAUUCUUCUGGAAGACCAUGUGGAGGAGGACAGAAGUAUACCACUGACAGCUGCAGCCAACCACCACACAAGUGAGUGAGACCCUCUUGGAUCAUCCUCUUGCAUCUUAGUUGCAGGAAGCAGGACGAGUAAGCCCAAGAGAGGCUUGUGGAAGAGACUUCUGGCCAACAUAUAGACUCAUGAGUAAAACAAUGGUUGUUAUUUCAAGAUUCACUCAGUGUUGGGGUGAUUAGUUAUUCAAUAAUAGGUAACGGCUGAAGUGUGGAAUGCAUGAAGCUCACCUGCGGAUGAAGCCACCACUGAUGGCCAUUUGCUCCCGUUCAUCCACCACACGAGCAGGCUGGCUGGCCACCACUCCAUCCUGAUUAUUGCCCCAGGCUUUUUUGUAAGCAUCACUUGAUUUAAGCCUAUGCAAAAAAGAGGGUGAGUGACAAGGCAUAGGGUGGAGCAAGCUCAUGGCAAUCAUCACCUCUUCAAGCGAAGAACCGAACCAAGCAAAUGAGUUUUAAGUUGAGGCAUUAGAGAAUACCGAUAUAUCAUAAUCUGGACCCAAACAGUUGGCCACCACCAUGCCUCCACUACUCAUCAUUCAUUUUCAAUUGAGUCGAUUGCAAUGGUCAAGACUGCAAUCUUUGGUUUGUUUUGUGGUUUAAUUGGAUUUAAGAUAAAGAUUGAGGUAGCUGGAGAACAUUCAGUUUUAUUUCAGUGACAUGGUUAUAUUUUGAGACACAAAACACAGAAAGAACAUACUGGCAGACAUACACAAAACAAGACUGCCAAGUAGGGUGUGUACAUCACACCACAGCAACACAGUGUCAUCAAGAAAAACAUACUUGACCAAGUUUUUACACCAUCAUGCAAAGAUCCCUGUUAAUAUGUUUUCCCUAACACAUAUGUGGAACUAACAUUUCCAGUGCUUCAUGAAGGACAUAAAGGAUUGGUGGUUGGCCAAGGGUGAUGGUCUUUGAGGAGUUUCUAGAGAGAUUUGAAUUAGAUAAUAUAUCGGUACUUCCAAACAGUCACCAUACAUCCAGAGUUGAUGUACAAACCUUUGUCCACAGAGACAAAAAGUAAAAGAAGCAUAGUGAAAUGAAUGCAGGAAAAUAGAAGAGAGAACAAGCCACCUAGCACCAAAAAGGGAAACCCAUCUUAUCUCUUCUUCAUGCACCAGCUACAGGCAUGAGUGGAAAGUGAAGCAUUCUCAUUUAAGCCAAACUACUCCCGAAGUUGACCAUUCCCGAAAAAGGCACUAGCAGGACAGUAAUAGCCUUCGUGAGGAUUUGAAACGCAGUUCAGUAGCUUCUUUGAUGGGCUGAAGGGCAGGGCGGAGAAUGCUUACAAACUCCUACUUCCAACUAUCCUGGGGUUGUGACGGAGGGAGAGUGGUUUGGAAUCAGUGUGGUCUCCAUGGGCUGUAUUUCACUGAGCUGCCUUGGAGAAAAACUUAAAAUCCAGGCAUACCUAUUGUGCCCAAUAGAAACAUGUGCAGCACAUUUUGGUGGGUGUGUUGUAAUUUAAGGCGAUCAAAGAUGUUUUUAGGUUCUUUGCAUAGUAGAAACCAUAUGUUUUUAGUCCAGAAACAAAAGACAUCCUUUGGUCCCAUUUUCAUAAUUUUUUUUUAAAGUUACAAAACAGCAGAAUUUAACUUUUUUUUCUUCCCCUUUUACUAGAGGACCAGAGCCAGCUAUUAAAACUAGCUCUAAUCCUUGCAGAUUGCAGACCAAGCAACCCUGGUGACAAUUGGGAAAAUGCACCAGUGGAAUUUCAGCAACUCCCCGCAAUUUAGUGUAUAAUAUUGUGGCCCUUUGAGUAGUCAGUCAGACAUUAGCGCACCAAGGGACCAUGGGCUCACUCAAGGGGACAAGAUCCCCAAAGUAAGUUUUGUAGAGUUUAGAGUCUGGCUUUAUCCCCACAUCUCCCCAUCUCCUCCUUCCUUGGAAUAAAGGAAGUUUUAUGGACUUUCUGAUGUUUUCUGCUAUGUAAAAUAUCUGGUACACCAUCUUUGGCAAAGUCAAAGGAGGGGGAAAUAUGCGUUUCCAGAAGAAGGCAAACCACUGCACCCACAACUCUGCACAUAGACUCACAUCACUGCCGUACAUCUACCAUAGUCCUUCGAAACAUGCUGAGACAGGGCAAAGCCCUCAAAUAGUCCAGGGCACCACCAGCCACUGCAUUGUGACACAUGGUUUUUAAAGCAUUAUUUACACGCAAUAGGGAACACUUCGGUCAAGCUUUGAAGCUCAGUUAGGGUCUCUUGUGCAUUAAGGAAUUAGCGACCACUUUUAUGUGGAAUCGUAGGGGUGGUGUUUCAUUGGAACCUUAGAAUCCAUCCCAGGGAGACCUGACUCCACCCUUUCUUCACACAUAGUUGAUGAAGGGCGAAAAUGAAUCUGUUGGAAUUCACCACGAAACGGAAGGAAAUCUCUCGUGGGGGCCAGUUGCCACUGGAAAGGAUAUACAAUCAAAUCUUGACUAACUGGAAUGCUUGCUAGUGAGUCAUUUUGGUAAAUUUUACGACUUUCUUAAUGAACAAUGGACUGAAGAAGAAAUUUUGUUUCAAGGGCAAUUUUGUUAGACCCCUGAGACAAUUUUCUGCCUGGGCAUCUUUGAGUAGUGGUCAUAAUCAAAUUUUUCCAAUGUUACUGUUGUGUUUGAUGGCCUUUCAUUUCAUAUUCUUCCUUUUUUUUUUUUAAAUAUGAAGACUAUAAGAGAAUGGAGACUUGAGACAUUGCAAAUUACAUAGAUUGUCUCAGGGUAUUUUUAAUUUGGGAUAUUAUUAUUAUUAUUAUUUUGCUAAAAAUAAAAGGGAAGAGGAAGUAUAUAGUUGAGAAUUCCAGUUAGUUAGAUUCCAGUUAAUCAGACUUCACUGUAGAUGAUUCUUUCAAAAACAUGCUUUUUAUUUAUUGGUAAAUUGAGCCCCUCCCCCUCCUAAACAGGAAGUGGGAUAUUUUAAAUCAGCCUCAAAGUUUAAAGGAUGUGAAUAGUCAUAUAAUCUGCUAGAAACGACAUCAAUUUCUAUUCUAAAAGCUAGGGCUAGGAGAGCUUUUAGGAGAAAAAGCUUCUUUUAAAAGGAAAAGAGGGAGGGGGUGAGGGAGAUCAGGUAAUGAGUUUAAUUUUCCAAAUGCAUGUUGGACAAUCCACUCAUGCAUUUUUUGCUUUCACUGCUAGUCAAAUGAGACUAUCUUCCAGAACCCUGGUUUCAGGUUCUUUCUGUUGCAAACCUUAUAACCACAUGUCACAUUUCUGCUACAUUCCAAAAAAGCGUUGCAGAACCUUAAGAACAGUUGAAAAUUUUGUGAUAUUGUGCAUGCAAAAUCUACACAUUUCAACAUUUCAGCCAGUGUACGGGUUGCUCUUCCAAGGGGAAGAAUUUGAGAGGGAUGGUCCCAAUCUGGGCAAGGAUUGGGCACUUCACGCUGGACUGCUCACUGCCUCUACACAAGGUGGAUCUCAGGACCAAAUUUGGUAACAGGCGGGCAAUGGAAAGGGAAAAAUCUCUGACAUAAUCUAACUUGCAGAGUGCUUCCUUGGGCCAAAUUACUUGCCUCUAUUACUUUUGAAAAAUCAAACAUGUGUUUCUUAUCUUCCAAACUUACCCAUUCUCUAUUCUAAAUCCGCAAUUUUGGUUCUUGGGGUUGGAGAAAACAAAGGUCAUGGGGUGCCUGCGUCUCAAAGUACACUUUCUGGAAAAUGUUGAAACGUUCAUCAAUAAAAGUUGCUGACAGUGAAGCUUUCACUGUAGUAUGCCUGAUUUUUAAUGCAUCAACAGUAACUCCCACUAAUAUCAUCUAUGCUAUGAGAUGAAUGCAUUGGAGACGGUAUUGAUCUGUUCUGCAUGCCACAUGCUCAUCCUGCCUAUGCGCCUGCAGGAAUGAGCUUGUCAAGGCUUGGAGAUGGGGCCUUGGAAAACCAAAGCUUCAGGCAGGCAGGCAGCACCUACUUGUUACAGGGACACACACAAAGCCCGCAGAAUUUUCCUAGGUCCGUCAAAUUCUUUUCUGCUUCUUUCAUGUCCUUAUUGAUUUGGUCCAUCCCUUCCUCAAUGCGUUCCAGUUGUUCUGAUUAAACACAAGUAUUUUAUCCCCACAGAAUGAAGCAGAUGGAAAAGGACAAAGAAAAAAAAGACAAAACUUCAGACAUUCACUUUGACAUUAAAAAAGAAAAAAAAAAAGAAAGAAAAAGAAAGAAAGAAAACUGGACGCCACAGAUUAGAGCUGGUACCCAGUACCUACUUGUUACAAGGACAUAUGAAAAGGCCACAGCAUUUCCCUAAAUCUUUUAAAUUUUUCUCAGCCUCCUUCAUGUCUUGGUUGAUAUGGUUCAUGCCUUCUUCGACACGAUCGAGUUGUUCUGGUUAGGACAAAGGGAUGACAGUGUGGAAUGAAUUUUUCUUGGGUUUCCAACAGAAUAUGAGAAAUGACUACGUGAAAAAGGAAUUUGAAAGAGAGAGAUUACAAUGCAUUGUCCAAGAGGGUGCAUUGCAGAGGGCUGCCGCUGCCCUAAGCGGGCAGACAGGAGGAAAUGAACAAAAAUGAUGCUCAAACUAGUUUGUAGUUCAGACAUGAUGGGAUGGGUCAGAAGGCCUGUUUGAUUCUGAGUGUCCAGGGGGAAAGCACAAUAUAUUCACUUACUCACACACCAGUGAAACUCCAAAGAAAGAAAAACAGGGUGUUAGUUUAUAUUUAAGCCAUUCUUAUUUAGUGCUACAAGAGGAAGUAUCUGCUUCAACUUAAAAUAUCUGUAUUGUUUUGUUUUUAAAUAUCCUUAACCAGAUAAAGGUAGAAAAUAGAAUCCAUGUUUCCCUUCUUCAGGAAAAACAGCAGCAGCAAUAGCAAUAAUUAGCAAUGGAUAUGGAUCUUUUUUCUUCCUCUAAGCAGUGACUGUGUAGCCAAAAGUAGCCUAUGGUCUGUUCUUGGUUUCCCCAUAUUUAAUUCAUAGAAGCUGUAAAAGAAAGUAAUAUCAACACAGCAAUAUUAUCAAUAUUGGGGUAUUUCAAUUUGUCUUUCAUCCUAUGAGUCACUUGCCAAGAAAGCUUUGAAACUCAUUUCAUUUCUCUGGCUCCUGACUUUCCAGUGUCUAUACUGGGGGCCCCCCAAAAUCAACCCCAGGUAGACAGCAGGGAGAAUAAAUAUCUCCUUGAAGAAGGGAGUCAGAUUGGAACGUAGAUGAUUACUGUACCAUUGCUGCAAGCAAAGCUGACCUUAGUGUAUCUAAGACAUAGAUUGAUAGACAUAAAAAUGAAUCAUAUUUCUAGGUUGCCAGGGUUACAUACAUCAAGUUGAUUAAUUUUUCAAAAGUUGUGUCACCAAAUUGAGGUAACUACAAGUUCAAUGAAGGGAUUUUUAAAAUAGCUUUUAAAGCCAUUAAAAGAGAGCAGCAAAUGAGAUGUCUUGGUUGUCUAAUUACAAAACCUAAUUACAUUCCCAUUCUUCUUUUCAUCUAUAUUUUCAUGCAUGCAUGCAUUUGGAUGCCUCCAGGAAUACAGGCAUGCUUAGAAUAAAACUGAUAAGUACAUUUCCAGCCUAAGGGCAUGAAUAAUCAUGUAAAAACAAUUUCACAUUAAAUUGUACAGUGGCAAUUGUCAUUUCAAAACCUAACUUGGAUUCACUAGUGACCCAAACUAUGAAUUUGUAAAAAGCUUACUGUGUUCUGUUUUGUGGGGCUGAAGAACAAAAUUCUGUUGAUUAGGACUACUAACUCUGCUUUGCUUUUCAAAAGGACUGGCGAAAACAAAAUCUUAGCAUUUAUCUAGCACUGGAUAUCUGGAGGAAAUAAGACUACAGUGCUGAAGAGCUGGAAAACUUUUUGCUGAUAUCUUCAUAUACUUUAUACUCUUGAUAUUCUAGGAGAUUUUUUUCUUUUCUGAAGAUUGCACUCCAGUUUCUUUCUAAGAAUGCAAUAGAGCUGGGCACAGUGGCACAUGCCUGUAAUCCCAGCAACUCGGGAGGCUGAAACAGGAGGAUCGCAAGUUGGAGACAGGCCUCAGCAACAUAUUGAGACCCUAUACAACUUAGCAAGACCCUGCCUCAAAAUAAAAACAAGUGAAAAGGGUUCGAGAUGUGGUUCAAUGACUAAACACCCCUGGGUUCAAUCCCUCAUCCCUCCAAAAAACAAAACAACAACAAAAACAUCCCAAUAGAUUAGAUUGGGUCAAGUUAAAUAUUUGAUUGAGGGGACUGGUGGUGGUGGGGGAAGGUUCAAUGUGAAAGAGCUCAAUGUCAUCAGAUGAGGAUCAUCAUACCUAUUGAUAGAAAUAGGGAUGCUGAAUUACAAUCUAAUAAUUGCUAAUGGUUUCCAGGUGUGCUGGGGUGUGAUCGAUGGCAGACUGAGGGAAAGCAUGCUAGACUCAACCAGUGACAGCUGAAAUCAGUGUAGGUUAUGGCAGAGGGAUGUACAUUUAGGGGUUUGUCCUUCUUGAGGAGUUUCUCUUGAGUGAGAAAGCCAACUAACUUGUUUAUUUGGCCAAAUAUCAACUCUCCCACAAGAUUUCCAAAAUGCCAUCUGCUGUGCCUGCAGAAAUUAGGAAAUAGCAUCUAGAUAUGUGAAUUGGUCCAUAAAUGUUGAACUGAACUUGUACAAAUGAAUGAGCAAAUCAAAAUCCAUAUUUCAGAGAGUUGGGUUCUGCUAUAAAUUGCCAGGUUUGACUACAAAAAGAAAGGUUUGCAAAGGUUUGACUACAAAAAAGGAAAUUCUGACAAAAUUUUUCAGAAUUUAAUUGAGAAAACUGUUCAGAAAAGGGUUGAUUCAGAAAAAUAUUUUAUACCUGCCCAUAUUAGUUAAAUGCAUCUUUACAUACAAAUUAUAAGUCAAACCUUUAAUUUAAAAAAUAGCAUAAACUGUUUGUCACAGGUAUUCUAAUAAUAAUAUUAAUUUUUAGAGUCCAAUGAGUUGUAUUUCUGGGUACAUUUGAUAUAUUGGGGCUUCAUAGCACUUGGAUGAUUUCUGUGAAGACAUUUCUCAGGGAGUGGAGAUGAAAACAACCAAUGCCAUUAUGUCAUUCUGGGGUGACAACAGCCUCUCUGAUAAUAGAUAUAAUGAACCAUCCAGGGUUGAUUUCAUCUUAGCUCUCUAAGCUUGCUUUCUGUCAAUUUUAUGUUGAUUCUUAGAGACUGGGAGAACAACCUUUUAGGUUAAAAGAGGGCUUUCAAGACACAACAUUCUAUGUUGGCAUAAAAGCUUGAACUUUCUUUUGCUUCGAUAUUUGAAUGGUGAUUUGUGAUAGAUCCACCAAUGGUAGGAUACUCUGGGUUCUAAGUUUACACAUCCUUUCUACUGAGCUCAUCUUAGUAAAACAACACAGGGCUCUUAGGAUUCUCAUUCUGUUUUUUAACACAAAACAAGACACAAUAAAAUAGCAAGACAUUGAUGCUUUGCUAGUGUGCAAGCCUUCAUGAAUACGUCCAAUUUCAAGAUGCUGCCUAUGUGCUUUUCAUUUUUGUUCACAUUGAUUAAAACAGAAAAAUUCAUGUAAAUAAAGUUAAAGAGCCACAUGCAAUGAAAGGCUACUAUAUUGGCUAGCGCAGCCUUAGUCAUUCCUAACUGAUACUUGGUGAGUAAACAUCAGCAAGAAGGAUAUUUUUUCUCAAAUUCUGCUUUGUAGUGCCAUGAACCUUUUAAGAUUGUUGGCUGUGUCUCUGGAUGGGGUUCUACUUUUUCUUCCCUCUGCCAGGAAGUGGUGGUCAGAAAUUUCAUUAUUAGUUUGGAGUUCAUCCCAGGAUUGUUCUCAAAGAACUAUAAUAGCUAUCAGAACAAACAUAUAAUCCAGCAAAAACCAACAAUAGAAACAGAGGUGAAAGGUUAGAUCAUCUUAUGUUAGUGCCAUGGUUGUUUUAGGGGGUUUCCCUUGGACACAAGUUUUGUAGGGAAAGAAUAGUUCCAGGGCUUGGUAUAUUUCUUGUGAUGUCUGUCAUGCUCAGUGCUCCUUGGUGUGUCCUGAUACCUGGGUAAAAAACAAAAACCCUAUAAGUAAUUUAACUGUUCAGCUAGAUAACCUGCAAUGGUCUGGCCUGACCUGACAGUGGGUGUAUAAUGUUUCUUUAGAAGGAUGACUGUUUCUUGAGGCUCCUGAGCAGCUGCAAGGUAGAAAAAGUCAACAUUUUUGGUGUUCAGGCAUGGACAGAAUUAGUAGAGCAUAACUGAAGAGAAAUUGCAAAGCAGUUACUGAUUUAAAACAACUAAACAUAGCACAUGCAGAAUUAAAAUGCAUUUAUGACCGUAGUGAACACAGUUGUGCUUAGUUGUCAUAUUAAAAGGCCCUAAGUUCCUAUGAUAGUAUAAAUGGAAUGUGUCCCACUUAACACUAGGCACAGAUCAUCCAUUUUUGGUGGUCUUACAGUUGCAGGUUUCUCAUCAGAAUCGGUUUAUUCACUACACAUCUGGCAAAACUCAGGCUUAUCCUAGGAAAUACAGUGAACAGAAGAAUUCGGCAUUUACUCAGGAAUGGUCACAAAUGAAAUGUUUUAGCUGAGAACACUCACUAUCUCAUGAAGAAACCUGUCAAACAAAUAUUCUAUUCUGCUUCGCUUCUCAGAUAAAGUAUGCAAAUGCAUCUGGGAAUCAUCUGUGCUUAAUACUCCAAGUUCAUUUAUAGUAUUUUCCGCAUCUUUAUGUUAGUGUAUAUAGUUAAGGGGAAAAGGCAUUAUCCUGAAUCUUUUGCCAACUUUCCCUCUGCUGUAAGUCUCCUUUUUCCAUCCCUUCACAUUCUGAAUUACUAAUUGAAAGAGCCAACAAGGUGGAAUUGCUAAUUAUUCAAGUGUAUUUGUUUCAAUUUUGCUUUGGAAAUAAGGUACCACUCUUCUAUAUGGGCACCUGCUGUUUAAAUUUUCCUUUAUUAAAAAAUCAACGAUUUACUGCCUUCUGAGUUUCAAAGCUGGGACACUGUUGCACAGAUCAAGCCAACAAGUCUUAUAAUUAUAGAAAAUCUAUCUGGGGAGCUCUGUAGACUGGCACUGUUAUUGUAGUGCCUUCAAAAUAGAACUCCACUAGACCCUGUUAUUGGCAUAUGCAUUUGGACAAUUUAUAUUUUUAAAAUUGGACGGAAAGCAUUGGGGUUGAUGUUCAAUUGGUUUUACAGAAGUAUUUCUCUUGUAAUUGUUUGAUAUAUAUAUUUUUGAAAAGGUUUAAUGCAAAAUAAUGUAACAACAAAAGUGAUUUUAUGACAGCCAUGGGGAUGUGCCCUCAAGGCUCCUUUUAGAAGACUCUCCUGUGAGAAGUAGAGUUAGCUGUGCACUUGGGAACUGCUACAGCAUUUAUGUUGAGGUCAUGUGCUCCCUGGGAUGCUUCAAGCCAGUGACUGAGUACAAUUGGGACUACCAGAUCUGAAACAUAUAUGACCAAAAAUAGGGCUGUUCCAAUGGGUGAUUUCUGUUCGUGGACUUCCCAUCAGCCUGGCUGAGACUUUUUCCAAGCAGUAUUACAAUUUGAGGCUCUCCCUACCCAAUUCUCCUUCCUUCUGCUGAUAUAGGUAUUGGAUCCAUAAAAUCCUUAAAAGUCUAAACGUUCCACUUACCUAUCUCUGCUCCCUUUCCCUUUGACCCAUCACAGACAUGUCCCCCCCAAAUCUCUUAUACUUUGUAUUGUUCCUUAGCAUUUGCUUCUUAGAGGACUCUAAAUAACUUAUCUUCCUGUCUCCACCCCAACUUCCCAGAUGUCAGUAAAGAUUUACUUUAUUUAUGGUAUUGAUUGCACAACAUUUAUUUCAUGGCCAUACCAUAAUUAGUUUAGUUCAUCUCCCUGCUUUCAGAUAGGUUGUUUCUAGCCUUACAUGCCUACAAGUAAGCCAUGUACAUUUUUCUUUGAGUAACUGUAAAUGCGUGUCUCCACUGUCAAAUUCUAGAAGUAGAAUGUCUUGAUCAAAAUCAAGACAUUUUAAAUUUUAAGGUAUCAUAAAUUACUCUUCAAGAAAUUUAUAACCUUCUACAGCAUCCAUCUAUAGAAUAAGCGUUUUUGUUUUCCCAGCAUAUUCAUCACAUUGGUUAACAUCAAUUUUCAAAAUUUAAGUCAGUCUACUAGAUAAAGGAUAGUAUCUCACUACCAUUGACGGUUGAGACCCAGUUUCGUAUGUCUAUUUGUAAACUGAUGAUUCCUAUCUUAUGUCUAUUUUUUUUUUCUUUUGAUUGCUCUUUUCUUUAAAGUUCUGUAAGGGCUUUCUAUAUUUUGGGAAAACAUUUUUAGGCCUGAUACCUAUAGGGCAAUUGUCCAAAUUUGAAAUUUAUGCUUGGAGUUUAUUGGGACCUCUGCUGUGAAUAAGUUUUAAUAUUGAUAUUUGCCACCAAACAAGACCACAAAUAUUAUGGCCUUACCAUUUUAGGUGCCACUAUAGAAUAUGGAGAUGCCAUACUAAAAUGCCAGCUUCCUGAUUUUCACUGCUUUUAGCAUUUCCAUCAUGAGUUUUAAAACAGGCCAAAAGUUCAAAGAGAAGAGCCUCUAAUCUCUGUUCUCCAAUAUGUGUACAAUAUGACUUCCAUGUACAUGUAAAAAUGAUUGCACCCUAACCAAAUUUCCUCAGAUAGUGUAUUGUUUGUUUAAAAUAAUCACAGUUUGGUUCAUUGUUGUUGUAUUCUUUCCAUUUUAUUUACAACACUACUUUUUAUCCUUUUAGCAAAUUCUAAAGUGUAGUGAUCUUUAAAAAAAAUCACUAAAUAACUAGGAAAUAUUUGUGUUGUUGUUUUGUUUUAAACAGUACAAGGUGAUGGAACAUUUUGCUCCUCUUACCACAGACAUGAAAUGUCAGCCAUUGUAUGGCUAGGAACCAAUGCCUUUGGCUGUUAAUAGAUCUGCUAUUGCUGAGCAUAUUUUAGCCACUGCUUAUGAGACUAAAUUACAAAAAGCAGAUGGCAUAUAGAUGUGACAGUGGAGGUUCUGUUGAGGACAGAGGCAACUCAGAGAACAGUUUCUCCUUGAGGACACAAUCAAGGCUUGCCUGAGGACUCUGCUCCAUUCUACUGGUGACCAUUGGUGGGAAAAAGGUUUGCUUUGUACAAGAAAUACCACCUGAUCCUCAGCAUUAAAUGAUUCCCUGUGGUUGAAAACAAGGAAGACAUUUCCCAAGUCAGCAAGCUUCCUGGAAGGAGGUAGCAAAUUCUGUUUCACUUGCAAAGUCUGCUUUCAUGGAGGUACUGUAGAGACCACUUACUAAGAGAAACAACUGGCCCCAUGAAUUCCUACCCCACGACUGUGAGCAGGUGGGAUACACAAGACAAUGUGUGAAUAUGUUCACAUGUCAUGGUGAUUCCAGAAACUGGGAGGAACUUAACCUGUCCCAUUUACUCUCUCCCACCCAGUCUUUGCCUUGAUUGAGUUUUUUGCUCUUUUGAAUGAUACAUGCAAGAUGGUGGACAGAAUUAAGGGUGUGGCCAGAGCAGCAGGCACCACUUGAUGGUUCUUGAAGAAAUCAAACUCUGAACUGCCUUCCUGCACCAGUGAGUCUAUAUGAGACCAUCCAGAUUUUUGGAAAUCUGGCAGGUGGGAGGCCACAAUCAUUAUACUCACCCAUAGGCAGCUUAGACCUUGUAAUCUGGCAAACUCCAAAAGGCAAAGUUUCAGGUUUUAGCUUAUGGGAUAUCCUGAUGCCUUGGGGAGAAAGGAUCUUCUGUGUUAUUUAAAAUGCCCUUAGCUAUCAAAUACCUGGGCUCAAUCUUUUUAUUUCACAUGAAGAAACAGCUGAAACCUCAGACAUCCUUCCUAUGGUGGCUGAGCUGAAGAUAGAAGCUAGGGAAACUUGCCCUGAAGUCAGUGAGGCUCAGAGCAGCUAUUUCUGUUUUGGAAGAAGUU